UUAUUUUUUUUAGUGGGUGAUCUACUUAAGCAGUUGAGAGAGAGGAGAGAAAUUGAGAUUUGCCAUGUAAGGAAGACAGGAGGGAUUGGUGCCAAAGCACAAACAGGAAAUCAGGACUUUAGUAGGUUACAUAACGCAGAAAUAGGUCAUCUACUGCUCCACUCUUCAAAGUGGUCCACAACUUCUCUGGAUGUCCUUCCCAAGCCAGAGUCUAACUUUAACAAGAUCUCCCAGGUCACAUUCCUAAGAGCUUUCACAGAGGGAGUGUGCUCAGGAGAAGGGAUGUGAGAAGUAGGAGAGGACAGGACAAGGAGCUAACCAGGAGUGUGGCUGCAGCGGGACCCCCCUUCAGCCAGUGACUCGGGAGCAUGAAUUGAAUCACAGAGCUGGUCCCACCUUGAGGCUGAAGUGCUACUGCGGAAAGGUGUGUGAAGGGAUGAGAUGCUCUCAAAAGUCUCCUGUCAAUCUGGGCCCAACAUGGCAGGUUUAUAUCAUCAAGAUGAUCUGUUGUUAAAGAGAAGUGAAGAGGCUAUAUUUUCUUUUCAAACCUGAGUGAGGAUGUGAAUAAAUUGGCAAUUCCAUUUCAUGCAUUUUAUGAUUCCUUACUUCCUCAGAGCUUUCUAAUCUUUUUCUGGAGACGCAGGUUUUCUUUGUUCAUUUUCCAAAUAAAAAUCUCCUUUCUUGGCUCCCCUGA
This is a long non-coding RNA of Myotis myotis, 694 nucleotides long. RefSeq lists it as uncharacterized. Lineage: Eukaryota; Metazoa; Chordata; Mammalia; Chiroptera; Vespertilionidae. The transcript is spliced from 4 exons. The record is from RefSeq and is a predicted model, not a curated record.